UACGGAGGGGGCUAGCGUUGUUCGGAAUUACUGGGCGUAAAGCGCACGUAGGCGGCUUUGUAAGUUAGAGGUGAAAGCCCGGAGCUCAACUCCGGAAUUGCCUUUAAGACUGCAUCGCUAGAAUUGUGGAGAGGUAAGUGGAAUUCCGAGUGUAGAGGUGAAAUACGUAGAUAUCAGGAGGAACACCGGCGGCGAAGGCGGCGACCUGGUCCAAUAUUGACACUCAUACACGAAAGUGCGGGGAUCAAACAGG
RNAcentral lists this ribosomal RNA (253 nucleotides) under uncultured prokaryote. RNAcentral describes it as "partial 16S ribosomal RNA". It matches the Rfam family "Bacterial small subunit ribosomal RNA", at positions 524 to 776 of the family's 1533-position model. The record is from RNAcentral.